This 27-nucleotide non-coding RNA is filed under the name Mus musculus (house mouse). The record is from RNAcentral. Lineage: Eukaryota; Metazoa; Chordata; Mammalia; Rodentia; Muridae.
UCCUAUCUAUGUUAAGAGGCACGUCAC